CCCUUAGAUGUCCUGGGCCGCACGCGCGCUACACUGAUGCAUUCAACGAGUAUUUCCUUGGCCGAGAGGCCUGGGCAAUCUUUUAAACCUGCAUCGUGAUAGGGAUAGAUUAUUGCAAUUAUUAAUCUUGAACGAGGAAUUCCUAGUAAACGCAAAUCAUCAAUUUGCAUUGAUUACGUCCCUGCCCUUUGUACACACCGCCCGUCGCACCUACCGAUUGAAUGGUCCGGUGAAAUCUCGGGAUUGUGGCCAGUUCACUUUAUUGGGAGUUGGCUGCGAGAACUUGCUUAAACCUUAUCAUUUAGAGGAAGGUGGAGUCGUAACA
This 325-nucleotide ribosomal RNA is filed under the name uncultured eukaryote. RNAcentral describes it as "partial 18S ribosomal RNA". It matches the Rfam family "Eukaryotic small subunit ribosomal RNA", at positions 1470 to 1796 of the family's 1831-position model. The record is from RNAcentral.